Non-coding RNA from Vicia faba (fava bean), 207 nucleotides. NCBI's taxonomy places the organism in Eukaryota, Viridiplantae, Streptophyta, Magnoliopsida, Fabales, Fabaceae. The record is from the annotation of a GenBank genome assembly.
AUGAAAGUAAAAGCAGAAACCAAAAUUCACCAGUUUGGAUCAGAUCCGCCACGGAGGUCAUGGUGGCCUGUUGGUGUUCAUCAGAGGUCCAGAUCCGUCACAUUUUCGGUGGAUCUCGCGGCUGACGGUUUAUGUUGGAGCUGCUCAUCGGAUUCUUUGUACGGAAGAGCUUUUUGUGUUCUAUUUUAUUUGUCUCUGCAAAAAUAA